AUGGAUCCUGACUCGUGUGUGUGUGUGGAAAAAUCUGUGGCUCUUUUAUAGGGACAGAUGAUUUUAGUGUAGAGAAACAGCAUGGCCUUUGAUAUUUAUUCAGUCUCUGUUUCACAUUUGCAUUUGCCUUGCUUUUCUGUACAGUUCUGUACCAUGUAUUCUUAUGUCUCACCAAUUCUUUAUUUGCCUCUCCAACCAGCUGCAUGCCUACUUCGUGCUCGAAUUUGCCGGUGGGGGAACGCUGCACAGAAUGAUUUCUGCUCAAGGAAAUCUACCAAUGAAGAGCAUUGACUUCUGAAGAAGCGUCUUGGAGUAAAUGGAAACAUCAAGGAGCACCCGUUCUAUGCCAGAAUUAACUGGAGUGAGCUGGAAAACAAAACAGCAAAGACCCCUUUCCAGCCCAAAAUUCCUCCAGCAGAUAAUUUAACAGUCACCGAACCAAGAUUCUGCACUGAAACUUCCAAGACGGAUAAGGUGGAAGACUUCUCCUAUGUGGAUUCCAACUGGAAAUGGCAGGAGUAAAGGAUUUUCUGUGCUCAUGUGACCUAACAUCAAACUGCCUGUACAGCAAGAGAUGAUGGCAACAUACCACCCAUGGCUAAUUCCAUCUGUGAACAUCAGAUCUGCCAUCUACAACUGUCAACUGCAAGUGCUUGGCUCUUCAACCAACAACAGCAGCACCACACAGGAUCCUUAGAACAAGAAGACAAACAUCAUUGAAGGCUGUCACAAGCAAAGAAGAGCUGCAAGCUGGAUUUCCUAUUGGAUUUUUGAUGAACUUCCUUUAGAAGAAAACAUCAAUACUGAACAUACAGUGCACUGUACAAGAUCAGCGUUCAGUAUAUUUUCAAAUUCUUUAUAUAGGGUAAGUUACAUAAGGUAAGUGGGGUAAGUAUGGUAAUAGGAAUGUUAUGUUUCCUUCUUUUUCAUCUUCUCUUAUUCUUUCUCUAGCUUUCUUUUUCACAUACAAAUAUGAUAGGAAUAACACUAUGGUUCUUUCCUUCUUAUCUUUUCUUCUCAUCUCCUUCCAUUUUUUCCCAAUUUUUUUUUUUAGCAUUUUCAUUGCUCGUGUAUUUCUAUAACCUUCUUUUUCAACUUAAAUAUAUGUUACAAGUUCCAACAAGUUAAUUAUAAAUUUAUGGGGAUAGGUGUGUUUGGAUUUUUGGGAUUGGGAAAGGGGGGAUAUAUAUAGGUGGGAUAAAUGAUAUGGGAAUAUUAAUGUUAAGAUUCUGUCUUUCUUAUCUUUCCUUCUCUGUCGUCUUUUAACCUCUCAUGUGUUUCUAUUUUCUCUCGUGUGAAUGGUAUGAAAUGGUGUGUGAAUGCAAAUAGGGUUCCUCGUUGCACCAGUAUAGAAGAUGAACAUAGAGCACCUUCUGACUGGCUGCAAGUUUAAUUUAGAUCAUUAUUAAAAUAUAGAAAAAUCUCUGAGGCUUGUGCCUCUUGAACCCAGUAGGAGGGAGUAAUAAUGUAGCAGAUGAAGCUGUAGCUGUAGGCCCCUUUUUAAAACAUAAAACUAAGCCCAUCAGUGGUAUGAAUGUGAUUUGAAUAGAGUUUAGGGAGGCUCAGGGUUUCGGCUCAAAGCAAUAAGAAUAGACUAGGCAGAGCUGUAUGUCCCCAAAUGCUGCCUAGCCACAACUCGCUCCUCCCCCUUCCCCCAUGAACCAUAUUUUAGGCAAGAUAAAUAGGCCCAUCAUAAUCCUCAUCUCCCAUAACCAGGUCUUUUAGAUAAUAAAAGGCUACUGGUGUUAAUAGUCAGUACACUGUUGAUCCAGGGAUUAGUCCGAUUGCCGUUUUGGAGUCAGGAAGGAAUUUUUCCCCAUCUAAAGCAAAUUGGAGAUGUCUACAGAUGGGUUUUUUGCCUUCCUCUGGAUCAUCUAGAUGUUAGGUUGAUUUAACCUGAUGGGCACGCUCACCCUCAAUUACUGUAUAACGGUGUCCUUAAUUCAUUGAUAGGGCAAAUCAAAUUUUUACUGAAUAGGGAAGUACUGGGGGAAAUUAUAUAGCUAGUAAAGCAGUGGGUAGUGGAAUCCCAGUCCUACUGACUAUGGGAUUUGCCACAGGGACAUAGAAAAUAGUGAGUGAAUGAGUGAGUGAGAGCAUGUGGGUGUGUGGAAGUGUGUGUGUGUGUUAUUGUAGAUUUUCCAUUGGGGAACUUUUGUUCCUUACACCUCCCAGUCUGAUCUGAGGAGGAGGGGUCCCAUGACGGCUUAUAUCAGCCUCUACCUGGCCAGAUAGGGAACUAUUGCAGCGAGUCAUCGGGUGAGCCAUUUGCUGCAAUAGAUGUGUGAAUGGACA
This is a long non-coding RNA of Xenopus laevis (African clawed frog), 2295 nucleotides long. RefSeq lists it as uncharacterized. NCBI's taxonomy places the organism in Eukaryota, Metazoa, Chordata, Amphibia, Anura, Pipidae. The transcript has 3 exons. The record is from RefSeq and is a predicted model, not a curated record.